CUUACAGAGGGCUUUCAAUCAUGGAUGUGGAGGGGGCUUACAUUUCUCCUUCCAUUUCUAUUCUUUGGCCAUUUUUGGCAGCUGUACAAUGCUGUGACUCUCUUUAAGCUAUCUGCCCGUGAUGACUGCAAGGAAUGGCAGGUGUUCAUGUUGGCCUUGACAUUUCUCGUCCUGUUCUUGGGAAAUUUCCUCACUACUUUAAAAGUGGUCCACCAGAAGCUCCAGAAAAACAAAGAAAAGGUCAAAAAUAACUGAUGAGACACCAACUGGAAGAUUUCAUACG
Molecule: long non-coding RNA, 283 nt
Organism: Sinocyclocheilus grahami
Lineage: Eukaryota; Metazoa; Chordata; Actinopteri; Cypriniformes; Cyprinidae
Exons: 3
Source: RefSeq, a predicted model, not a curated record